This 644-nucleotide long non-coding RNA is filed under the name Danio rerio (zebrafish). RNAcentral describes it as "lncRNA si:dkey-105h12.5 (ENSDARG00000097950.2)". Lineage: Eukaryota; Metazoa; Chordata; Actinopteri; Cypriniformes; Danionidae. The record is from RNAcentral.
CGUGGAUUACGCUGGAAGAGAUGGACGGCAUUGACAGAUGACUGGAGAGGAGAACAAGAAGUAUGGGGCCCUUUGUUGCCAUGCUGAGAGAGACGGAUCGGGAAUUCAUUGAAAAAUGCAUCCGCAAGUUUGGUGGCUCAAGGCACAAAGUCAUCUUUAUAUUAUGGGGGAAUUUGGCUCCGAGUGCCUGCAAAGCGUCUUUUAACACCUGACAGACAAUGAAUGUGAGGUCAUUCGCAGGGUGGUGCUGUAUUGGUCUCAGAUUCCUCUCGACAUGCAUCAUCAGGUAUGCAGUGUUUUUUGGACGAUUGUUGUAUCUGUUUCAUGGAAGGAGUCAUUGGGCGUGAGACAGAAGAGUGUACGGUUCGGUUUCAGCCUGCUUUCUAAACCUGGCCAUAUGCCCCUUGUGCCUAUUACUUUACUCCUCCCUGAUCUGAGCGCUGAAGAGAUAAUACUUAUCCAUAUGGCAGAAUAUUGUUUACAGUGUUGCUUAAAGGGAAAUCUGAAGCACAUGCAGCCUUCAAUUCAGAUUGUUGGGUCACAGUGGUCAUUUCACCUAAAGGUCCUGUUAUCCUGGCUUUUAUGGGGAGUCUGUGCAAAAAUUACCAGUUAGACAUCAGCAGAUUAAAGUUGAAGUGAACAUU